This 219-nucleotide unclassified non-coding RNA is filed under the name Glomeraceae sp. RNAcentral describes it as "partial contains 5.8S ribosomal RNA and internal transcribed spacer 2". The stretch from base 1 to 71 matches the Rfam family "5.8S ribosomal RNA", at positions 84 to 154 of the family's 154-position model. Lineage: Eukaryota; Fungi; Glomeromycota; Glomeromycetes; Glomerales; Glomeraceae. The record is from RNAcentral.
GUGAAUCAUCGAAUUUUUGAACGCAAAUUGCACUCUCUGGUAUUCCGGAAAGUAUGCCUGUUUGAGGGCCAGUUAAAUUAAAAUUGGUGUUGUUGGCGCCUUUCGUGGUUAAGCGUCGGAAUUGAGUUGUUUUACCCUUGGUUAAGUGAACUAAAAUUUUGCCUGAAUUUUUUUCGAAUGUAUAUAAAUUAUGUACGUUAGAGUUGUGGAAUCGUUUAC